GUGGGUAUAGCUCAGCUGGUUAGAGCGCCAGAUUGUGGAUCUGGAGGUCGUCGGUUCGACCCCGAUUACCCACCCCA
This 77-nucleotide transfer RNA is filed under the name Oscillospiraceae bacterium. RNAcentral describes it as "tRNA-His". It matches the Rfam family "tRNA". From Rfam's summary of the family: Transfer RNA (tRNA) molecules are approximately 80 nucleotides in length. Their secondary structure includes four short double-helical elements and three loops (D, anti-codon, and T loops). The record is from RNAcentral. Lineage: Bacteria; Bacillati; Bacillota; Clostridia; Eubacteriales; Oscillospiraceae.